This 56-nucleotide non-coding RNA is filed under the name Dictyostelium discoideum AX4. Lineage: Eukaryota; Evosea; Eumycetozoa; Dictyosteliales; Dictyosteliaceae. The record is from RNAcentral.
GUUAAUCCUACAGCAAUUCUAUUACUCAACAUGCAAAAGAAAUCCUUUGUCAACUG